Molecule: ribosomal RNA, 404 nt
Filed under: uncultured bacterium
Lineage: Bacteria
Description: partial 16S ribosomal RNA
Rfam family: Bacterial small subunit ribosomal RNA
Source: RNAcentral
GACGAACGCUGGCGGCGUGCUUAACAAAUGCAAGUCGAACGAAGUGGCGAACGGGUGAGUAAUACGUGGGUAACUGCCCUCCUUUUUGGGAUAAGCCUUGGAAAAGGGGUAUAAUACCGCAUAAAGGGGGAUGGUUCGCGGCCUAUCAGCUUGUGGGUGGGGUGAUGGCCUACAAAGGCGACGACGGGUAGCCGGCCUGAGAGGGAGACCGGCCACAUUGGGCUGAGAUACGGCCCAAACUCCUACGGGGGGCAGCAGUGGGGAAUAUUGCACAAUGUGGGAAACCCUGAUGCAGCAACGCGCGUGCGGGAUGACGGCCUUCGGGUUGUAACCCGCUUUCAGCCAUGACGCGGUAGUGGCAGAAGAAGCACCGGCUAACUACGUGCCAGCAGCCGCGGUAAUAC